RNAcentral lists this ribosomal RNA (409 nucleotides) under Microbacterium sp. oral taxon 185. Its description in RNAcentral is "bacterial SSU rRNA". It matches the Rfam family "Bacterial small subunit ribosomal RNA", at positions 74 to 501 of the family's 1533-position model. The record is from RNAcentral. Lineage: Bacteria; Bacillati; Actinomycetota; Actinomycetes; Micrococcales; Microbacteriaceae.
GAGAGCUUCCUCUCUGAUAGUGGCGAACGGGUGAGUAACACGUGAGCAUCUGCCCCUGACUCUGGGAUAACAGCUGGAAACAGCUGCUAAUACCGGAUACGAGUUGCGAAGGCAUCUUCAGCAGCUGGAAGAAUUUCGGUCAGGGAUGAGCUCGCGGCCUAUCAGCUUGUUGGUGAGGUAAUGGCUCACCAAGGCGUCGACGGGUAGCCGGCCUGAGAGGGUGACCGGCCACACUGGGACUGAGACACGGCCCAGACUCCUACGGGAGGCAGCAGUGGGGAAUAUUGCACAAUGGGCGAAAGCCUGAUGCAGCAACGCCGCGUGAGGGACGACGGCCUUUCGGGUUGUAAACCUCUUUUAGCAAGGAAGAAGCGAAAGUGACGGUACUUGCAGAAAAAGCGCCGCUAAC